GAUUAGAGUUUGAUCCUGGCUCAGAACGAACGUUAGCGGCGCGCUUAACACAUGCAAGUCGCACGAGAAAGGGAGCAAUCCCCGGUACAGCGGCGCACGGGUGAGUAACACGUAGGUAAUCUGCCUCUGAGUGGUGGAUAACCUCCCGAAAGGGGGGCUAAUACAGCAUAAGACCACGGUUUCGAGAGAAACUGAGGUCAAAGCCGGCCUCUUCAUGAAAGCUGGUGCUCGGAGAUGAGCCUGCGGCCCAUCAUCGGUAGUUGGCGGGGUAAUGGCCCACCAAGCCUAAGACGGGUAGCUGGUCUGAGAGGAUGAUCAGCCACACUGGAACUGAGACACGGUCCAGACUCCUACGGGAGGCAGCGGUGGGGAAUCUUGCGCAAUGGGCGAAAGCCUGACGCAGCGACGCCGCGUGGGUGAUGAAGGCCUUCGGGUUGUAAAGCUCUUUGGGUGGAGACGAAUAAGUCGUGGCUAACAUCCACGAUGAUGACGGUUCCACAUAACAAG
Molecule: ribosomal RNA, 507 nt
Filed under: uncultured bacterium
Lineage: Bacteria
Description: bacterial SSU rRNA
Rfam family: Bacterial small subunit ribosomal RNA
Source: RNAcentral